GGUGGCGACCGGCGCACGGGUGCGUAACGCGUAUAGAACCUACCUUUUACAGAGGGAUAGCCCAGAGAAAUUUGGAUUAAUACCUCAUAGAAUUAUAGAGUGGCAUCAUUUAAUAAUUAAACAUUUAUGGGUAAGAGAUGGCUAUGCGUCCUAUUAGUUAGUUGGAGAGGUAACGGCUCACCAAGACAGCGAUAGGUAGGGGUCCUGAGAGGGAGAUCCCCCACACUGGUACUGAGACACGGACCAGACUCCUACGGGAGGCAGCAGUGAGGAAUAUUGGUCAAUGGGCGCAAGCCUGAACCAGCCACGCCGCGUGCAGGAAGAAGGUCCUAUGGAUUGUAAACUGCUUUUAAACAGGAAGAAACACCCCGACGAGUCGGGGCUUGACGGUACUGUAAGAAUAAGCACCGGCUAACUCCGUGCCAGCAGCCGCGGUAAU
Molecule: ribosomal RNA, 439 nt
Filed under: uncultured bacterium
Lineage: Bacteria
Description: bacterial SSU rRNA
Rfam family: Bacterial small subunit ribosomal RNA
Source: RNAcentral